CUUCCAGAGUUAAUGCACUCUAGAAGAACUUCCUGAUUUGUUACUGGGUCCACUAUGCUGGUUGGCUUAGAAGCAUCAGCCAGGGGGAUAUCCAAACAUUUCACUACCUCACUUCUUGUUUUAGCUCUUUUCUUCUUAUGACGACUCUUCAGCUUAUUCUUCAUGUGAGGUUCUGCUUCUGCACCUGCUAUUCCACUAAUUAAAAGCCUUCCUGAAGGCUUC
This 222-nucleotide long non-coding RNA is filed under the name Gallus gallus (chicken). The record is from RNAcentral. Lineage: Eukaryota; Metazoa; Chordata; Aves; Galliformes; Phasianidae.